Non-coding RNA from Trichonephila clavata, 73 nucleotides. NCBI's taxonomy places the organism in Eukaryota, Metazoa, Arthropoda, Arachnida, Araneae, Nephilidae. The record is from the annotation of a GenBank genome assembly.
GUCUCUGUAGCGCAAUGGAUGGCGCGUUGGACUUCUAAUCCAAAAGUUGUAGGCUCAAAUUCCAUCUGGGAUG